This 470-nucleotide ribosomal RNA is filed under the name Neisseria pharyngis. RNAcentral's name for it is "bacterial SSU rRNA". It matches the Rfam family "Bacterial small subunit ribosomal RNA", at positions 30 to 487 of the family's 1533-position model. The record is from RNAcentral. Lineage: Bacteria; Pseudomonadati; Pseudomonadota; Betaproteobacteria; Neisseriales; Neisseriaceae.
AUUGAACGCUGGCGGCAUGCUUUACACAUGCAAGUCGGACGGCAGCACAGAGAAGCUUGCUUCUUGGGUGGCGAGUGGCGAACGGGUGAGUAACAUAUCGGAACGUACCGAGCAGUGGGGGAUAACUAAUCGAAAGAUUAGCUAAUACCGCAUAUAUUCUGAGGAAGAAAGCAGGGGACCAUUUGGCCUUGCGCUGUUUGAGCGGCCGAUAUCUGAUUAGCUAGUUGGUGGGGUAAAGGCCUACCAAGGCGACGAUCAGUAGCGGGUCUGAGAGGAUGAUCCGCCACACUGGGACUGAGACACGGCCCAGACUCCUACGGGAGGCAGCAGUGGGGAAUUUUGGACAAUGGGCGCAAGCCUGAUCCAGCCAUGCCGCGUGUCUGAAGAAAGGGCUUCGGGUUGUAAAGGACUUUUGUCAGGGAAGAAAAGGAUAGGGUUAAUACCCCUGUCUGAUGACGUACCUGAAGAAU